CACUCCUACGGGAGGCAGCAGUGGGGAAUAUUGCACAAUGGGCGCAAGCCUGAUGCAGCCAUGCCGCGUGUAUGAAGAAGGCCUUCGGGUUGUAAAGUACUUUCAGCGGGGAGGAAGGCGAUAAGGUUAAUAACCUUGUUGAUUGACGUUACCCGCAGAAGAAGCACCGGCUAACUCCGUGCCAGCAGCCGCGGUAAUACGGAGGGUGCAAGCGUUAAUCGGCAUUACUGGGCGUAAAGCGCACGCAGGCGGUCUGUCAAGUCGGAUGUGAAAUCCCCGGGCUCAACCUUGGAACUGCAUUCGAAACUGGCAGGCUAGAGUCUUGUAGAGGGGGGUAGAAUUCCAGGUGUAGCGGUGAAAUGCGUAGAGAUCUGGAGGAAUACCGGUGGCGAAGGCGGCCCCCUGGACAAAGACUGACGCUCAGGUGCGAAAGCGUGGGGAGCAAACAGGAUUAGAAACCCUUGUAGUCCCA
RNAcentral lists this ribosomal RNA (472 nucleotides) under uncultured organism. RNAcentral's name for it is "partial 16S ribosomal RNA". It matches the Rfam family "Bacterial small subunit ribosomal RNA", at positions 334 to 797 of the family's 1533-position model. The record is from RNAcentral.